Molecule: long non-coding RNA, 343 nt
Filed under: Homo sapiens (human)
Lineage: Eukaryota; Metazoa; Chordata; Mammalia; Primates; Hominidae
Description: HSALNT0043622
Source: RNAcentral
CAUUCCUGAGAGGUUGAAUACAUUUGGUAGUGAGUACUGCCCGUAUCAGUGUUGUAGCUGAGGAAAUCAAAUCAAAGAAUUGGGGUAGAGACCAACAUUUGGAACAGUGACCCCUUUGUUUCAGCCUAGGAGACUAUCUUUUGAAAUAACAGAAGCCAUCUCUGAUUUUUGAAAGUACAAGCUGAAGAACUGAAAAGAUGAGAACUCCUUCAUUGCCUGGGAGUUAGAAUCAGAGAUAAUGACACAACUGGAAAACCAAGAGGAAAACAUAUGAGACUGAUAUUCUCAAAGUAUAAUCUUGAAAAAGAAAUGAGUCAAGCACAUGCAUGGUCAGGCAAUGUAC